Molecule: small RNA, 507 nt
Filed under: Pan troglodytes (chimpanzee)
Lineage: Eukaryota; Metazoa; Chordata; Mammalia; Primates; Hominidae
Description: processed transcript
Source: RNAcentral
GGGAAGAGUCUGCAGAGCCUUUGCCCGCCAGCGCCUUCGCUCUUUGGCUCCCUGAGUUAGUCCGGUUGUUUGCGAUCGCCGCGGCCGGGGCUGCGAACCGAAGGGCUCGCUCCGCGCCGCCUGGGUCUCUACCUCAUCCGUAGGUGUGGCCCUGAUGGUGUGGCAGGCUCUGGACUCCUAAAGCUCUGGAGCGAAUUUAAGAUUUUAUUCAUGUGCAUGGCAUAGAAGAUGAAUUCUUCCACUUCCACCAUGAGUGAAGAGCCUGACGCUCUAUCGGUAGUUAACCAGUUACGGGAUCUAGCAGCAGAUCCGUUAAACAGAAGAGCCAUCGUCCAGGAUCAGGGAUGUCUGCCUGGCCUUAUUUUAUUUAUGGACCAUCCCAACCCUCCAGUCGUCCACUCCGCUUUGCUUAACUACAACUCCAGGAGAAACAAAACUUCUGGCCUCUGAAAUCUAUGACAUUCUUCAGUCCUCCAAUAUGGCAGAUGGUGAUAGUUUUAAUGAGAU